UGGGGAUGAUUUUGAAAAAGAAUUUAUUUUUGGCUCAAAUGGGGUGACAAUGGAUAUAUAUUUUUUGCUUUUUAGAUAAAGUCAAGAAGGCCACACAUCAUUUUGAACUCUGAUUGCUUUAUUUUCAAAAGAUUAAUUUUGCGACUGGAUGAACUCAACAUGAGUUGCAUUUUUUUUCUUUUUGAAAGUUUUUUUUUUUCAAUCUAGUGGGCUUAUUCUUCUUUUUUUAUUUUGAUUUUUUUUUUCAAUGGAUUCAGGGAUCACCCUACUAGCACAAGCAAGAAGUCUUUUGGCCAGACCAAAUUGCCACAGUGUAAAGGUUUUUGCUACUG
RNAcentral lists this long non-coding RNA (332 nucleotides) under Vigna radiata. RNAcentral describes it as "long non-coding RNA (VRAD_LNC013515)". Lineage: Eukaryota; Viridiplantae; Streptophyta; Magnoliopsida; Fabales; Fabaceae. The record is from RNAcentral.